GACGAACGCUGGCGGCGUGCUUAACACAUGCAAGUCGAACGAAGAGCGAUGGAAGCUUGCUUCUAUCAAUCUUAGUGGCGAACGGGUGAGUAACGCGUAAUCAACCUGCCCUUCAGAGGGGGACAACAGUUGGAAACGACUGCUAAUACCGCAUACGAUCUAAACUCGGCAUCGAGGAUAGAUGAAAGGUGGCCUCUACAUGUAAGCUAUCACUGAAGGAGGGGAUUGCGUCUGAUUAGCUAGUUGGAGGGGUAACGGCCUCCCAAGGCGAUGAUCAGUAGCCGGUCUGAGAGGAUGGACGGCCAAAUUGGGAACGGGACACGGCCCAGAAUCCUACGGGAGGCAGCAGUGGGGAAUCUUCCGCAAUGGACGAAAGUCUGACGGAGCAACGCCGCGUGAGUGAUGACGGCCUUCGGGUUGUAAAGCUCUGUUAAUCGGGACGAAAGGCAUUCUUGCGAAUAGUGAGAAGGAUUGACGGUACCGGAAUAGAAAGCCACGGCUAACUACGUG
RNAcentral lists this ribosomal RNA (510 nucleotides) under uncultured bacterium. Its description in RNAcentral is "partial 16S ribosomal RNA". It matches the Rfam family "Bacterial small subunit ribosomal RNA", at positions 28 to 507 of the family's 1533-position model. The record is from RNAcentral.